Molecule: small RNA, 132 nt
Filed under: uncultured Ruania sp.
Lineage: Bacteria; Bacillati; Actinomycetota; Actinomycetes; Micrococcales; Ruaniaceae
Description: ydaO/yuaA leader
Rfam family: c-di-AMP riboswitch aptamer (ydaO/yuaA leader)
About the family: This family represents a conserved RNA structure found upstream of the ydaO and yuaA genes in Bacillus subtilis and related genes in other bacteria.
Source: RNAcentral
CAACCAGGCAGGAGCGGGGGAACCACAUACCGGGUCCGGUACGCCGGUCCCUUGGGGUGAAGCUCGGUUCCCGACCGAGCCGGGUUAUCCGACCCGAAUCCGACAGCUAACCCCGCAGGCAACAGGAGAGAG